This 465-nucleotide ribosomal RNA is filed under the name uncultured bacterium. RNAcentral describes it as "partial 16S ribosomal RNA". It matches the Rfam family "Bacterial small subunit ribosomal RNA", at positions 28 to 507 of the family's 1533-position model. The record is from RNAcentral.
GACGAACGCUGGCGGCGUGCUUAACACAUGCAAGUCGAACGGAAAGGCCCCUUUGGGGGUCCUCGAGUGGCGCACGGGUGAGUAACACGUGAGUAACCUGCCCUUGACUUCGGGAUAACUUCAGGAAACUGGGGCUAAUACCGGAUAGGAAUCCUUGCUGCAUGGUGGGGGUUGGAAAGCUUCGGCGGUUUUGGAUGGACUCGCGGCUUAUCAGCUUGUUGGUGGGGUAGUGGCUUACCAAGGCUUUGACGGGUAGCCGGCCUGAGAGGGCGACCGGCCACAUUGGGACUGAGAUACGGCCCAGACUCCUACGGGAGGCAGCGGUGGGGAAUAUUGCACAAUGGGCGGAAGCCUGAUGCAGCAACGCCGCGUGCGGGAUGACGGCCUUCGGGUUGUAAACCGCUUUCAGCAGGGGCGAAGCUUGUGGUGACGGUACCUGCAGAAGAAGCACCGGCUAACUACGUG